RNAcentral lists this long non-coding RNA (209 nucleotides) under Elaeis guineensis (African oil palm). RNAcentral describes it as "long non-coding RNA (EGUI_LNC041375)". The record is from RNAcentral. Lineage: Eukaryota; Viridiplantae; Streptophyta; Magnoliopsida; Arecales; Arecaceae.
GAAAAAAAUACUUAACUAGUGAGUUCUUCGAUCAUAGUAUUCUCUCUCAGUGGAUACCUUCUUAUACUCCAUAAUUAAAUGAUAUUGUAGAAAGGAGAAAGUGCAUCUUAUUAGAUAUGAUGCAAUCCAUGAUGUGCUUCAUGGAUCUUUUGAUCUCCUUUUAGGGAUUUGUUUUUGAGACUGCAGCUUAUGUUUUAAAUAAAGUACUA